This 159-nucleotide unclassified non-coding RNA is filed under the name uncultured Conlarium. RNAcentral describes it as "sequence contains ITS1". Lineage: Eukaryota; Fungi; Ascomycota; Sordariomycetes. The record is from RNAcentral.
CAGAGUUGAAAAACUCCCUAACCCUUUGUUUACAUACCUGUCCCGUUGCUUCGGCAGGCGGCCCCAGGGCGGGGCCUCUAGCCUGCUUAGCAGGUGUCUGCCGCUGGCACAAAACUCUUUGUUAUAUUUACCACUCUGAGUCACACAAAAAAUGAAUCA